UGGUUUGAAUUAUUUAUUUUUACAAGUACAGAUAUUUUCAUGUUAUCAAGCGGUUUUCAAUAUGGAGAUUUUUGAAUCAAUAAUCGAUUUGUUAGAUUUAAUUUGAAGUAUAUAAAAUGCAUAAAAAAUAAAAUUUAUAAUUUUUUGAUAUUAUUUAUCUAGUUAUCAAAAAAGUUCAAAAUCAAUAUUUGAAGAUAAAAAUAUCAUAAAGUGAUGAUAUAAUAUUAAAAUUUUAAAUCAAAAAUAUUAAUCGUGUUUUAUAUAGUAUAAAAAAUUUUGUAUUGAAAUUUUAUGUAUUUGAAUAUUUUUACAUCGUUAAACUCCAAACAACUUACCACAACAAUUAAAUUUAUUGAUUUUGAGCCCAUCGAUCAUUAGAUAAUGAUAUAAAGAAAUUGCAAAAUUUAUUUUCUAGUUAUUUUAAAUAUUUUAGAUUAAAUUUAAUGGAGUUGAUCGUCAAUUUAAAAAUUUCAACAAUAAUUUGAUAGUGCAAAAUUUACUGUGUUUAUAAAAGCACACAAGCCUAACGCGGCUCUCUCUCUCUCUCUCAAUAUAUAUAUAUAUAUAUUAUAUAUAUAUAUAGAGCUCUCUCUCUAUAUAUAUACAUAGAACUAGGCUGGAAUAUUGUUAAUAACAUUAAGUUAUUGGUGCUAUUAGUUUUUUAGUCUUUGAAUUGAGAAAUGUACGAUUAGAAUGAUGUGGGUCUCUUAGGGUUGAGUGAGUGGUUGGUUGAAUAGUAUAAUUUAACGGGUAAAAAUAAUCAAGGGGUUAAAUCUAACGAUGAAAAACUUGAUAGGACCAAGCCCUUGGUGCUAUCGAUAGUAUCCUAACCGGACUCCAUAUAUAUAUAAUUAAGUGAACAAUAAGUAGCAAGACCGACCGUCCCUAGAGUAAGUGACAAAGGGUUUGGUGAUUGAUACCCAAGGUUCUAAGUUUAAAUGCUAGUUGAUUUACAUUUCGAAAUAAAUUUAUUUCUAAAUAAAAUAAACUAAAUGGAUAGCGUGCUACCUAUCUUUUUUUUAAAAAAAAAACAAUAAACAGCAAGAUACAAGACCGACCGUCCCUAACGCAAGUGGCAAAAGGCUUGGUGGUUGGUAUCCGAAGUCUAAAGUUUGAACUCUAGUUAAUUCCUAUUUUUAACUAAAUUUAAUUUUUUAAAAAAUAAACAAAACGUACAACAUAUUACCUUUCUCUCCAAAAUAAAUAAAUAAAUUAAUUAAUAA
This 1223-nucleotide long non-coding RNA is filed under the name Ananas comosus (pineapple). Its description in RNAcentral is "long non-coding RNA (ACOM_LNC011062)". The record is from RNAcentral. Lineage: Eukaryota; Viridiplantae; Streptophyta; Magnoliopsida; Poales; Bromeliaceae.